Molecule: ribosomal RNA, 305 nt
Filed under: uncultured bacterium
Lineage: Bacteria
Description: bacterial SSU rRNA
Rfam family: Bacterial small subunit ribosomal RNA
Source: RNAcentral
CCUACGGGACGCAGCAGUGGGGAAUAUUGCACAAUGGGGGAAACCCUGAUGCAGCGACGCCGCGUGAGGGAAGAAUGUCCUAUGGAUUGUAAACCUCUUUUGUCAGGGAGCAAAGUCACCCACGUGUGGGUGUUGGAGAGUACCUGAAGAAAAAGCAUCGGCUAACUCCGUGCCAGCAGCCGCGGUAAUACGGAGGAUGCGAGCGUUAUCCGGAUUUAUUGGGUUUAAAGGGUGCGUAGGCGGGUUAUCAAGUCAGCGGUAAAAUCGUGGAGCUCAACUCCAUCCAGCCGUUGAAACUGAUGAUC